RNAcentral lists this ribosomal RNA (2303 nucleotides) under Eutreptia viridis. RNAcentral's name for it is "SSU rRNA". It matches the Rfam family "Eukaryotic small subunit ribosomal RNA". Lineage: Eukaryota; Euglenozoa; Euglenophyceae; Eutreptiales; Eutreptiaceae. The record is from RNAcentral.
AAUCUGGUUGAUCCUGCCAGUAGUCAUAUGCUUCUCUCAAGGACUAAGCCAUGCAUGUGUGGGAGUACACGGCAUUGAAAGUGAAUCUGUGAAUGGCUCAUUACAUCAGUCACAAUCGUUACGGAGCGUGUGAGGGGACCAGCCUGUCCACCUCACAGAAUGGAAGAUACCGAUCCUAACUGGCUUGUUAAUACACGGAAGUUGGCACUCUCCUUGAACCCAUGUGGAUACGCAUCCUGAUUGUUGUUACACCCCAUUCAAUCGGUUGUGUCUCUGGUUCACACCUGGCCGUUCCUAUCCAUUUGGCAAUCAGGUGAAGGAGAUGGUCACACUGGGCUUUGUGUUGCAAGAUCUGUGCUCGAAAGAGCAGCGUGUUUUCGAUGAUUCAGGCUGAAUGACUGGAGUUAUGGCAAAGCAGGGUGACAAUUUAUGCUGGCCCCUUGCGUCUUGGAGCGAACUUCUGACCUAUCAGCUCUUGAUUGUGGUGUCGUGGACUACAAUGGCUUUCACAGGUAACGGAGAAUGAGGGUUUGAUACCGGAGAGGGAGCCUGAGAGAUGGCUACCACCGCUAAGGCGGGCAGCAGGCGCGCAAAUUGCCCUAUACCAGCACUGUUUGGUGAGGCAGCAACGAGUCGUGGCAGUUCUGUUGGCCAUUGGADGUCAGCAGGUCUCGCAAUGGAUGUGAUCUAAAUCCGGCAAUGAGCAUCAACUGGAGGGCAAGUCUGGUGCCAGCAGCUGCGGGUAAUUCCAGCUCCAAGUGCGUAUACUAAUGUUGCUGCUGUUAAAACGCUUGUAGUCCGAUACCUGGUGCGGGGCCUGGCAUGGAUUGUUCGGAUCAGUUUGUGGUGAUUCGUGCGGUCCUUGUCAGGAAUGAUGACAGAUCCUGUCCUUCCUGCAUCUACUCCUAUGCAAGCCAUCUCUCUGAAUGGACCGUUGUCUGAUCUUACAGGCAUGAAAGAGAUGCUGCAUGUGUCAUUGUGAACAACCCAAUGCGACCAAAGCAACCGCAGAAUGGCUGUAUGAUUACUCACGAGAUGACAAUGGGAUCGACCUGGAAAGUGGUGCUGCAUGUUUACAGAAUCCUUGUGCCACCGAUGGACAAUGCGGUGCCACCUGGUUCUUACUACCUGGUUAGAUGCGACACUGUUGGCUCCCUGCUGUUGGUGGCAAGUCCGUGACUCACCGGAUUGAUGGUACAUCCGAAGUGCUGAUAUGACACGCAGAGUGAAUCUAGAUCGCAGUGGAUCGACUGCGGCAAAGCGUUGUGCACGAUUCUGUCCGUUGAUCAAAAACGAGAGUGUGGGAGCAAAGAUGAUCAGAUACCGUGUAGUCCAUCUCCGUAAGCGAUGUGAGCCUGGCGUCGAUGGUUGUGAUAUCGAUCCUCUCAGUUCCACCAUCGGUUCCGUUGUCUACCCCAUAACGAGAAAUCCAAGCUUGUGGAUUCAGGGGGGAGUACUGUCGCAAGGCUGAAACUUAAAGGAAUUGACGGAUUGCACCACCAGGCGUGGAGUAUGCGGCUUAAUUUGAUUCAACACGGGGAAUGUUACCAGGUCAGGACGUGGCUGGGAUUGACAGAUUGAAAGCCCUUUCUUGAUUCUUUGGACGGUGGUGCAUGGCCGCUCCUGAUUGGUGGAGUGAUCUGUCUGGUUGAGUCCGAUAACGAGUGAGAUCUCUACCUUCGAAUAGUCACCGGUCUCGCACACAUGUAGGGCAGAGUUCAAGUCUUGUGCUUGUUCCGAGCCUGAGAGUGCCGGGUGUCUAUUGCUUCUCCAAGGUGCCGGUGCACGCUGCCAAGUGUCCGUAAGCCAGAGUCAACAGCAGGUCUGUGAUGCUCCUAGAUGUUCUGGGCCGCACGCGCACUACAAUGAUGCAAUGAAAGCGCUUACCAUGUUGUUCCAUUUGCAGACUGGGGUCCGUCGCUCAAUGUCAAUUCAACGUGCGGAAUGUUCAUUUGCAGGUGUCCUGUCCUGAAGAGGAUGGGCAAUCCUACAGCCUGCACCGUGUCCGGGAUCGAUGCUUGCAACUGUUUGUUGUGAACGAGGAAUGCCUAGUAUACGCACGUCAUCACCUUGCAUCGACUGCGUCCCUGCCAAUUGUACACACCGCCCGUCGUUACUACCGAUGGUUGUUGGACAGAGACUUCAUGAGACAAUGACCCUCAGAGGGCGUGCCAACCCAGACCUGGUGUCUGAGGCAGGUCCCUGAUCAAGUCCGGUCGUUGUUGAAUUUAGCCAAUGUCCUGCAGCUAGAGGAAGCAAAAGUCGUAACAAGGCUGCUGUAGAUGAACCUGCAGAAGGAUCAC